This is a long non-coding RNA of Daucus carota subsp. sativus, 689 nucleotides long. RefSeq lists it as uncharacterized. NCBI's taxonomy places the organism in Eukaryota, Viridiplantae, Streptophyta, Magnoliopsida, Apiales, Apiaceae. The transcript is spliced from 3 exons. The record is from RefSeq and is a predicted model, not a curated record.
UCUUUAGCUUUUUGUAUCGGUGUAUCCUCUUUGCAGAGACAUUGCUGAAUCAUUUGAUGGUACAUUUUAUGCACAAAAAGAGUGACUACAUUAGUCACCAAAAGAUGCUCCCCACAGGUGUAUGCUACUAUGCCAUAUAAGGCAUUCAGAACAGAACUUUAUACGUCGCCACAGACAUCUUUAUAUCUUGUCACCGAAGACAACUCCCAUUUUCGUUAUUAAUUUGUUCAAACAUAUCACUCUCCUCAUCUCUCGGUCUCACGGGAACUUCAGUUUCUCCGCUGCUAUGGAUAGAACUAUCGCUAUAAUUAUUCUUCUACUUUCUCGUGUAUUUCUCUAUACAAAUUUUUCUAUGAGAAUUCUCGGAGAGUUUGACAAAUCAGGAGCUUUCGAUAUGGAACUGCUAAACAAGACUUUUAUGAAGGAUGACUAUGGCCGAAGAACAAAGUUGCACGAAGUACACUCAGGAUCCAAUCCUAUCAGCAAUUCUCUUCCUGUCAAGGGAACUGAGACAUGAUGGACAGGAAGAUCACCCAUCUAUCAGCUGUAUCUACUAUAAACAAAUUAAACUUGAAUUACUUUAUGAUCUGUUUGGUAAGUUGAAUUUCAUUUGAAACUAGAUUUGAUCAAUUGAUAUGUUUGGUUACACAAAAGAAGCUGUAUUUGAAUUUCAUUUGAAAUUCAUAACA